This 436-nucleotide ribosomal RNA is filed under the name uncultured bacterium. Its description in RNAcentral is "partial 16S ribosomal RNA". It matches the Rfam family "Bacterial small subunit ribosomal RNA", at positions 339 to 795 of the family's 1533-position model. The record is from RNAcentral.
CUACGGGCUGCUGCAGUGGGGAAUAUUGGACAAUGGGCGCAAGCCUGAUCCAGCCAUGCCGCGUGAGUGACGAAGGCCUUAGGGUUGUAAAGCUCUUUUGGCGGGGACGAUAAUGACGGUACCCGCAGAAUAAGCUCCGGCUAACUUCGUGCCAGCAGCCGCGGUAACGAAGGGAGCUAGCGUUGUUCGGAAUCACUGGGCGUAAAGCGCACGUAGGCGGAUUUGUAAGUCAGGGGUGAAAUCCCGGGGCUCAACCUCGGAACUGCCUUUGAUACUGCAAAUCUCGAGUCCGGAAGAGUGGGUGGAAUUCCUAGUGUAGAGGUGAAAUUCGUAGAUAUUAGGAAGAACACCGGUGGCGAAGGCGGCCCACUGGUCCGGUACUGACGCUGAGGUGCGAAAGCGUGGGGAGCAAACAGGAUUAGAUACCCCCGUAGUC